AUUGAACGCUGGCGGCAGGCUUAACACAUGCAAGUCGAGCGGGGUGAUGGUGCUUGCACUAUCACUUAGCGGCGGACGGGUGAGUAAUGCUUAGGAAUCUGCCUAUUAGUGGGGGACAACAUCUCGAAAGGGAUGCUAAUACCGCAUACGUCCUACGGGAGAAAGCAGGGGAUCACUUGUGACCUUGCGCUAAUAGAUGAGCCUAAGUCGGAUUAGCUAGUUGGUGGGGUAAAGGCCUACCAAGGCGACGAUCUGUAGCGGGUCUGAGAGGAUGAGCCGCACCACUGGGACUGAGACACGGCCCAAACUCCUACGGGAGGCAGCAGUGGGGAAUAUUGGACAAUGGGGGGAACCCUGAUCCAGCCAUGCCGCGUGUGUGAAGAAGGCCUUAUGGUUGUAAAGCACUUUAAGCGAGGAGGAGGCUCUUUUGGUUAAUACCCAAGAUGAGUGGACGUUACUCGCAGAAUAAGCACCGGCUAACUCUGUGCCAGCCGCCGCAGUAA
Molecule: ribosomal RNA, 503 nt
Filed under: uncultured bacterium
Lineage: Bacteria
Description: partial 16S ribosomal RNA
Rfam family: Bacterial small subunit ribosomal RNA
Source: RNAcentral